GUGAAAAGCACCCCGGAAGGGGAGUGAAAUAGAACCUGAAACCGUGUGCUUACAAGUAGUCAGAGCCCGUUAAUGGGUGAUGGCGUGCCUUUUGUAGAAUGAACCGGCGAGUUACGAUUUGAUGCAAGGUUAAGCAGUAAAUGUGGAGCCGUAGCGAAAGCGAGUCUGAAUAGGGCGUUUAGUAUUUGGUCGUAGACCCGAAACCAGGUGAUCUACCCUUGGUCAGGUUGAAGUUCAGGUAACACUGAAUGGAGGACCGAACCGACUUACGUUGAAAAGUGAGCGGAUGAACUGAGGGUAGCGGAGAAAUUCCAAUCGAACCUGGAGAUAGCUGGUUCUCUCCGAAAUAGCUUUAGGGCUAGCCUCAAGUGAUGAUUAUUGGAGGUAGAGCACUGUUUGGACGAGGGGCCCCUCUCGGGUUACCGAAUUCAGACAAACUCCGAAUGCCAAUUAAUUUAACUUGGGAGUCAGAACAUGGGUGAUAAGGUCCGUGUUCGAAAGGGAAACAGCCCAGACCACCAGCUAAGGUCCCAAAAUAUAUGUUAAGUGGAAAAGGAUGUGGCGUUGCCCAGACAACUAGGAUGUUGGCUUAGAAGCAGCCAUCAUUUAAAGAGUGCGUAAUAGCUCACUAGUCGAGUGACACUGCGCCGA
Molecule: ribosomal RNA, 651 nt
Filed under: Staphylococcus aureus
Lineage: Bacteria; Bacillati; Bacillota; Bacilli; Caryophanales; Staphylococcaceae
Description: partial 23S ribosomal RNA
Rfam family: Bacterial large subunit ribosomal RNA
Source: RNAcentral